Molecule: non-coding RNA, 171 nt
Organism: Tinamus guttatus (white-throated tinamou)
Lineage: Eukaryota; Metazoa; Chordata; Aves; Tinamiformes; Tinamidae
Source: RefSeq, a predicted model, not a curated record
CUGUCGGACAUGCAGGGAAGAUCAAGUCCAGCUGAGUGCCUGCACGGCCACCAAGAACACACAGUGCGGCUGCAAGAAUGGCACCUUCUGCUCCCCGGACCAUCCGUGUGAGAUGUGCCAGAAGUGCCGGUCCAGGUGCCUCGAUGGUGAGGUGGAGAAGGCUCCCUGCAC